AAGUCGUAACAAGGUAACCGUAGGUGAACCUGCGGUUGGAUCAUUAAUAAAUGAUAGCUGCUAGUGGGUUGAUCUCCCCGUCGGGGAGAACCUCGCUAGUAGUUUAACAACCACUGUGAACUAUAAUGUACUCUUGCGCCGUUGCCGAACCGCUUGGUAAGGUAUUCGACGCAGCCUCAAGAAUCAACCUUUUAAACUUGACAUCUAAUUUAAGAAAUUAAAUUUAAACAACUUUAGACAACGUUUCUCUUGGCUCUCC
This 259-nucleotide unclassified non-coding RNA is filed under the name fungal sp. RNAcentral's name for it is "partial internal transcribed spacer region". The stretch from base 1 to 46 matches the Rfam family "Eukaryotic small subunit ribosomal RNA", at positions 1786 to 1831 of the family's 1831-position model. Lineage: Eukaryota; Fungi. The record is from RNAcentral.